Molecule: ribosomal RNA, 420 nt
Filed under: Fusobacteriota bacterium
Lineage: Bacteria; Fusobacteriati; Fusobacteriota
Description: Fusobacteria bacterium partial 16S ribosomal RNA
Rfam family: Bacterial small subunit ribosomal RNA
Source: RNAcentral
UGGGGGAUAUUGCACAAUGGGCGAAAGCCUGAUGCAGCGACGCCGCGUGGGGGAUGAAGGCCUUCGGGUUGUAAACUUCUUUUGCUCUGAACAAGGCAUGCCUUUGGGGUGUGUUGAGUGUAGGGGUUGAUUAGCGCCGGCUAACUACGUGCCAGCAGCCGCGGUAAUACGUAGGGCGCGAGCGUUGUCCGGAAUUAUUGGGCGUAAAGGGCUUGUAGGUGGCUGGUUGCGUCUGUCGUGAAAGCUCAUGGCUUAACUGUGGGUUUGCGGUGGGUACGGACUGGCUUGAGUGCAGUAGGGGAGGCUGGAAUUCCUGGUGUAGCGGUGGAAUGCGCAGAUAUCAGGAGGAAUACCGGUGGCGAAGGCGGGUCUCUGGGCUGUUACUGACGCUGAGGAGCGAAAGCGUGGGGAGCGAACAGG